This 264-nucleotide ribosomal RNA is filed under the name Poecilochaetus sp. GF-16928_19265. RNAcentral describes it as "partial large subunit ribosomal RNA". The record is from RNAcentral. Lineage: Eukaryota; Metazoa; Annelida; Polychaeta; Spionida; Poecilochaetidae.
CUUGAAGGAAAUUAGCCUGUUAUCCCUAUGGUAGUUAUUUCUUUUAAUCGCUUCUGCGGAUCAUUAAAUAGGAUUAUAUCCUUAAACUUUAAGGAAGAUUUAUUCUUUUCCUCAGUCGCCCCAACUAAAUUGCUAAUAUUUUAUUUUCUUGAGGUAUGUAAGCGAAUAAAAUGGUUGCAAUAAAACUCAAUAGGGUCUUUUUGUCUUUUUAAUAAAUUUAGGCUUUUUCACCUAAAGAUUAAUUUUUAUUUUUAGAGAGGAGAC